UGGGCAAUCUGGAGAAUUGUGAGUUCAUUGAAUUCAUUCCUUUUCAUUUGUAAGUCGUUAAAACAGGGAAAUAGUAGCAUUUUCAAAAACAUUACCAUCUCUCUCUCUCUCUCUCUCACCAUCAAGCAUAGGUUGCUUAUUGAAACAGCAAAUGUUGAGGCACAUUUGGAGAUAGAUGAAUCUGGGCAUGAAUUUGAAGAACUCUAUUUCAAUUCAUUUUAAGGAAAAAACAGGGAAGAACAUUAUCCCAUGAAAAUGUAAGUCUGACAAAAACAUUCACAAGUUGUUAUUUGAACUACCAUCUUCAUUGCUUGACCAUCUGCUAAAUGCACGAGCCACUAAAUUCCUACUUGCAAGCAGCCCAACCUUCGCUCCAAACAAUGCCGGUCUCCCGUUACGAAUCGAUGGACCAUCAGCAACAGCCACUUGACCACCCAUCACA
RNAcentral lists this unclassified non-coding RNA (442 nucleotides) under Hevea brasiliensis (rubber tree). The record is from RNAcentral. Lineage: Eukaryota; Viridiplantae; Streptophyta; Magnoliopsida; Malpighiales; Euphorbiaceae.